GAUGAAGAACGUAGUGAAAUGCGAUAAGUAGUGUGAAUUGCAGAAUUCAGUGAAUCAUCGAAUCUUUGAACGCACAUUGCGCCCCAUGGUAUUCCGUGGGGCAUGCCUGUUCGAGCGUCAUUUACCCCCUCAAGCUCCGCUUGGUGUUGGGCGUCUGUCCCGCUUCGCGCGCGGACUCGCCCCAAAGGUAUUGGCAGCGGUCGUGCCAGCUUCUCGCGCAGCACAAUGCGCUUCUCGAGGCACCGGUGGGCCCGCGUCCAUCAAGCUCACCCCCCCAGUUUGACCUCGGAUCAGGUAGGGAUACCCGCUGAACUUAAGCAUAUCAAUAAGCGGAGGA
This 337-nucleotide unclassified non-coding RNA is filed under the name soil metagenome. RNAcentral's name for it is "partial contains 5.8S ribosomal RNA, internal transcribed spacer 2, and large subunit ribosomal RNA". The stretch from base 1 to 120 matches the Rfam family "5.8S ribosomal RNA", at positions 35 to 154 of the family's 154-position model. The record is from RNAcentral.